ACACCAACACUGGAGAAACCCCAACCUCAGUGCCCUCUCUAAGGUUGUAGCAACCACAUCCACGCAGACCCUGCCGUGAGGGGCUCAGGGCUGCAGGGCCCCCUCCUUGCUCUGCACACCAGCACGAAGGGGUGACUUCACUGACUGAAGCCAUGUCUGACAGCAUUCAUCUUCUCACCUCCACUGAGACAGAAGAGUACCCUCAGGAGGUUAGAAGAACUUUUAGGAUACAGGGAGUAGGGAGAUCCUUUGAAGAAGAGAGAACCCAGGCUACGGAGACCUUGUCUCUGUCAAUGCAGAUAAGUUCUUGACUUUUUCUUUUAUAUGUCUCCCAACUACCUCUUUUCUGCAUUUCCUCUAGUAAUGAUACAUCACGCUGCGGGGGAAGGAGGAAGGCAAAACUUUUACUGUUUACCCUGGAAUCUUUGCUGAGUGGAUUUAAGGGUAAAGCAAACCCUGGCGGAGCUGCUAACUCAAGAUGUGACUGAUCUACAACUGCUUCCUUCUGGCAGUGCUCCUCAAUCAUCAGAUCUCUCCAUUUACCCCUGUUCCCCAGCCCCUGAGGCCAACCGGCCCAGGCACAGGACAUGUCCCUUCCUCAAUUCAGAGCAAGCACACUCAACAGUGAAAAGGGAUGCUGCAUGGGCUCAAUUGCACUGGACGGGCUGGGUCCUGGAAGGAGUCUACUGUGGAACACCAUCCCCACAUGUAUGACAGGUGGGGAUAUGCAUCAGGAACCCAGAUAUUGGCCCACUGAAGUUAGUGGAAAACUUUAAUUGACUCCAGGAAGCUCAGAAUGUCACAUUAGUAUUGGGAUAAAGGCAAGAAGGAUGUAGGUUACAGGAAUAAUAAGACAUACUUACUCACUGAAGUCUACUGAUUCCUUGAGGCUCCAACUAUUUUGAGACAUUUGGUAUGAGUUGCAUCCAGUCUAUCUGAAACACACAAAGCUUCAAGGCGUAACUUCCUUUUUAUGCAACUAUUU
Cuculus canorus (common cuckoo) is the source of this 985-nucleotide long non-coding RNA. RefSeq lists it as uncharacterized. Lineage: Eukaryota; Metazoa; Chordata; Aves; Cuculiformes; Cuculidae. The transcript has 3 exons. The record is from RefSeq and is a predicted model, not a curated record.